This 560-nucleotide small RNA is filed under the name Pongo abelii (Sumatran orangutan). Its description in RNAcentral is "retained intron". Lineage: Eukaryota; Metazoa; Chordata; Mammalia; Primates; Hominidae. The record is from RNAcentral.
AGACCUGCCACUGGCCCAGUCGCCCCCUGGGGCCCUUUGCCACUCCCUCGGGAAGAAGAGCCGAGACCUUAGUUCCCGGCAGCCCUUGCGGGACACAGGUGAGUCCUGGCUGCGCGCGCGGCCCCUCCUCCCCGGCGCCUCCCAGCCAGGACCCCAGCCCCUAUGAUGAAAGCGAAGUGCACGACUCCUUCCAGCAGCUCAUCCAGGAGCAGAGCCGGUGUGCGGCCCAGGAGGGGCUGGAGCUGCAGCAGAGAGAGCGGGAGGCCACAGGAAGUGGCCAGCAGACACUCUGGCGCCCCGAGGGCACCCAGAGCACAGCCACACUCCGCAUCCUGGCCAGCAUGCCCAGCCGCACCAUUGGUGAGUGGGACCCUGGGCCUCGGCCCCGAGUUGACCCCAGUCCCUGGGGCUGGGCUGGGCUUCCCGCCGGGCAUCUCCCUGGGUAGUGGCUGCUCCCAUAGCUCAGAGCCAGGCCCAGGGCGGGCUCCUGGCCCAUCCCGUCUGCUGCCUGGAGGCCCAGCACAGCCCCAUGUGGCCCUCGCUGGGCUCUAAAAAUGACU